UGGGGAAUAUUGGACAAUGGGGGCAACCCUGAUCCAGCAAUGCCGCGUGUGUGAAGAAGGUCUUCGGAUUGUAAAGCACUUUCGACGGGGACGAUGAUGACGGUACCCGUAGAAGAAGCCCCGGCUAACUUCGUGCCAGCAGCCGCGGUAAUACGAAGGGGGCUAGCGUUGCUCGGAAUGACUGGGCGUAAAGGGCGUGUAGGCGGUUUACACAGUCAGAUGUGAAAUCCCCGGGCUUAACCUGGGAGCUGCAUUUGAUACGUGUAGACUAGAGUGUGAGAGAGGGUUGUGGAAUUCCCAGUGUAGAGGUGAAAUUCGUAGAUAUUGGGAAGAACACCGGUGGCGAAGGCGGCAACCUGGCUCAUGACUGACGCUGAGGCGCGAAAGCGUGGGGAGCAAACAGGAUUAGAUACCCUGGUAGUCCACGCUGUAAACGAUGUGUGCUAGAUGUUGGGUAACUUUGUUAUUCAGUGUCGCAGUUAACGCGUUAAGCACACCGCCUGGGGGAGUACGGCCGCAAG
Molecule: ribosomal RNA, 521 nt
Filed under: uncultured bacterium
Lineage: Bacteria
Description: partial 16S ribosomal RNA
Rfam family: Bacterial small subunit ribosomal RNA
Source: RNAcentral